RNAcentral lists this long non-coding RNA (657 nucleotides) under Ictidomys tridecemlineatus (thirteen-lined ground squirrel). RNAcentral describes it as "lncRNA (ENSSTOG00000032355.1)". Lineage: Eukaryota; Metazoa; Chordata; Mammalia; Rodentia; Sciuridae. The record is from RNAcentral.
AGCCUGCCAACAUAUGCAUGCGCAAUGCGGCCCGCCUCCUCUGCGUGGUUACUUAGCGACCGCCGCCGCCGCCGCUUCAAAUUUAAACCCUCGCGGGCUGGAGUCUCCCGGCUGUCACUCAGCAAUUCCAAGCCUGAAACGCGGAAGAGAUCCUGCAACUUCUACUGGCUCGAGAACUCUGACUUUAAAUGACACCUCUUCUUUGCCACCUCAUCCCGCAGUUGAGCAUCUACCGGUCUGGUACCAGCGAUUACCCAAGGAAUUUCGCUGUUGCCGGAGAAGAGGGGACAUGAAGGAGCACAGGUAGGCGAGGUGGCUGACUUCUCGCCUUCUGUGGUAAAGCUGCAUGCGUCUAGGGGGGACCUACGUGCAGAUGCCACCCGCGACAGGUGAAGAGCCAGAUUACUCCUAUCUCUACUGCAGGAAAUCGACGUCCCUCUUUUCUGAGAGUAAAGAAGUAAAAUGUGCCGAUUUGAAGGAAUCGGAGAAGAAAAGAAGCAAGGGGAAUAAAGAAAAGGAAUGUAUAAAAUUUGAAGAAAUACUUUCAAAGUUUUUUCUUUCCUUCAUCUCAUUCUCUCUCCUCCUCAGAAAAGGAGACCGAGAAUAGUUGAGUGGCGUCUUCUUGGAAUUUCUGAUUAUGUAUUUGGACAAAUUUUC